AAGGGCACCACAAGAACGCGUGGAGCAUGUGGCUUAAUUUGACUCAACGCGGGAAAUCUUACCGGGUCCGGACACACUGAGGAUUGACAGGCAAUAUUAGCACUGAGCUUCGGCGACGUGUUAUGUUAAAUAUGCUAGUCCUUUCAUGAUUAUGUGAUAGGUGGUGCAUGGCCGUUCUUAGUUCGUGGAGUGAUCUGUCUGCUUAAUUGCGUUUCACCAAGGGCCUAUAAUUUUACGUGUGUUGCGGCACUUUGACCCCUCUUUUUUUAAAGAGCGCGUGUCUUGGUUUGCUUAGCUCGCACAAUUAGGUCCUGAAAGCAACGAACGUGACCGCAACCUCUUGUUGCCUUUAUACCAAACGUGCAUAUGCAAUUUUUUAAUUGCUUUGCGCGCAAAAAGGCUUUUUAAACUAGAGGGACCGCUGUUACUUUCUUAAACCAGAGGAAGGUUGCGGCAAUAACAGGUCUGUGAUGCCCUUAGAUGUUCCGGGCUGCACACGUGCUACAAUGAUUAUUGCAGUGAGCAUCUCAUUUUUUACACACCGCAUACGCGAGACCAUUUAUUCACCUUUCGGGGUGCUUUAAAUGUGUUUUCUCUGCGAGCGGUAAAGCCUGCUUCGAAAGUAAGUGGGUAAUCAAUUAGAAGUAAUGAUUUCCUUUUUUAGCACACAUAUAUACGGCGUCUAUGCCCGGGUUACCUUGUUGUAGCUUUUGUGCGUAUAGAUGUUUUUUCCGUAUGUGCGAUUGUCAAUUCGUGGUGGGGACAGACCAUUGUUAAUUGUUGGUCUCGGUCUUAACUAGGAAUGCCUUGUACGGGUCUUUGGUUCAACAAACCACCCGGAAUACGUCCCUGCCCUUUGUACACACCGCCCGUCGCUCUUACCGAUGGACUUCUCUGUGAGUUUGAGGGACUGGGAACGCGAAGUUAUUUUUAAUAACAUACGCACCUGCCUAUGGAAACUUAAACGAACAGUGUGGUCUAAAGGAAAGAGAAGUCGUAACGAGGCAUCGGUAGGUGAACCUGCAGAAGGAUCA
RNAcentral lists this ribosomal RNA (1034 nucleotides) under Bulimina marginata. Its description in RNAcentral is "bacterial SSU rRNA". It matches the Rfam family "Eukaryotic small subunit ribosomal RNA", at positions 1160 to 1828 of the family's 1831-position model. Lineage: Eukaryota; Foraminifera; Rotaliida; Buliminidae. The record is from RNAcentral.